Molecule: ribosomal RNA, 465 nt
Filed under: uncultured bacterium
Lineage: Bacteria
Description: bacterial SSU rRNA
Rfam family: Bacterial small subunit ribosomal RNA
Source: RNAcentral
CCUACGGGGUGCACCAGUGGGGAAUAUUGUACAAUGGGCGCAAGCCUGAUGCAGCCAUGCCGCGUGUGUGAAGAAGGCCUUCGGGUUGUAAAGCACUUUCAGCGGGGAGGAAGGCGGUGAGGUUAAUAACCUCAUCGAUUGACGUUACCCGCAGAAGAAGCACGGGCUAACUCCGUGCCAGCAGCCGCGGUAAUACGGAGGGUGCAAGCGUUAAUCGGAAUUACUGGGCGUAAAGCGCACGCAGGCGGUCUGUCAAGUCGGAUGUGAAAUCCCCGGGCUCAACCUGGGAAUUGCAUUCGAAACUGGCAGGCUAGAGUCUUGUAGAGGGGGGUAGAAUUCCAGGUGUAGCGGUGAAAUGCGUAGAGAUCUGGAGGAAUACCGGUGGCGAAGGCGGCCCCCUGGACAAUGACUGACGCUCAGGUGCGAAAGCGUGGGGAGCAAACAGGAUUAGAUACCCGUGUAGUC